GACGAACGCUGGCGGCGUGCUUAACACAUGCAAGUCGAACGGAAAGGCCCUGCUUUUGUGGGGUGCUCGAGUGGCGAACGGGUGAGUAACACGUGAGUAACCUGCCCUUGACUUUGGGAUAACUUCAGGAAACUGGGGCUAAUACCGGAUAGGAGCUCCUGCUGCAUGGUGGGGGUUGGAAAGUUUCGGCGGUUGGGGAUGGACUCGCGGCUUAUCAGCUUGUUGGUGGGGUAGUGGCUUACCAAGGCUUUGACGGGUAGCCGGCCUGAGAGGGUGACCGGCCACAUUGGGACUGAGAUACGGCCCAGACUCCUACGGGAGGCAGCAGUGGGGAAGAUUGCACAAGGGGCGGAAGCCUGAUGCAGCAACGCCGCGUGCGGGAUGACGGCCUUCGGGUUGUAAACCGCUUUCGCCUGUGACGAAGCGUGAGUGACGGUAAUGGGUAAAGAAGCACCGGCUAACUACGUG
RNAcentral lists this ribosomal RNA (468 nucleotides) under uncultured bacterium. RNAcentral describes it as "partial 16S ribosomal RNA". It matches the Rfam family "Bacterial small subunit ribosomal RNA", at positions 28 to 507 of the family's 1533-position model. The record is from RNAcentral.